GACGAACGCUGGCGGCGUGCCUAAUACAUGCAAGUAGAACGCUGAAGGAGGAGCUUGCUUCUCUGGAUGAGUUGCGAACGGGUGAGUAACGCAUAGGUAACCUGCCUGGUAGCGGGGGAUAACUAUUGGAAACGAUAGCUAAUACCGCAUAAUAGUAGAUGUUGCAUGACAUUUGCUUAAAAGGUGCAAUUGCAUCACUACCAGAUGGACCUGCGUUGUAUUAGCUAGUUGGUGGGGUAACGGCUCACCAAGGCGACGAUACAUAGCCGACCUGAGAGGGUGAUCGGCCACACUGGGACUGAGACACGGCCCAGACUCCUACGGGAGGCAGCAGUAGGGAAUCUUCGGCAAUGGACGGAAGUCUGACCGAGCAACGCCGCGUGAGUGAAGAAGGUUUUCGGAUCGUAAAGCUCUGUUGUAAGAGAAGAACGAGUGUGAGAGUGGAAAGUUCACACUGUGACGGUAGCUUACCAGAAAGGGACGGCUAACUACGUG
RNAcentral lists this ribosomal RNA (495 nucleotides) under uncultured bacterium. RNAcentral's name for it is "partial 16S ribosomal RNA". It matches the Rfam family "Bacterial small subunit ribosomal RNA", at positions 28 to 507 of the family's 1533-position model. The record is from RNAcentral.